GUGCUCGCUUCGGCAGCACACAUUCUAAAAUUGGAACAAUACAGAGAAGAUUAGCAUGGCCCUUGCACAGGGAUGACAUGCAAAUCCGUGAAGCCUUCCAUAUUAAA
This 107-nucleotide small nuclear RNA is filed under the name Canis lupus familiaris (dog). Lineage: Eukaryota; Metazoa; Chordata; Mammalia; Carnivora; Canidae. The record is from RNAcentral. RNAcentral also lists the same sequence under 1 other name.